This 1426-nucleotide ribosomal RNA is filed under the name Bacillus altitudinis. RNAcentral's name for it is "bacterial SSU rRNA". It matches the Rfam family "Bacterial small subunit ribosomal RNA". Lineage: Bacteria; Bacillati; Bacillota; Bacilli; Caryophanales; Bacillaceae. The record is from RNAcentral.
UGCAGUCGAGCGGACAGAAGGGAGCUUGCUCCCGGAUGUUAGCGGCGGACGGGUGAGUAACACGUGGGUAACCUGCCUGUAAGACUGGGAUAACUCCGGGAAACCGGAGCUAAUACCGGAUAGUUCCUUGAACCGCAUGGUUCAAGGAUGAAAGACGGUUUCGGCUGUCACUUACAGAUGGACCCGCGGCGCAUUAGCUAGUUGGUGAGGUAACGGCUCACCAAGGCGACGAUGCGUAGCCGACCUGAGAGGGUGAUCGGCCACACUGGGACUGAGACACGGCCCAGACUCCCUACGGGAGGCAGCAGUAGGGAAUCUUCCGCAAUGGACGAAAGUCUGACGGAGCAACGCCGCGUGAGUGAUGAAGGUUUUCGGAUCGUAAAGCUCUGUUGUUAGGGAAGAACAAGUGCAAGAGUAACUGCUUGCACCUUGACGGUACCUAACCAGAAAGCCACGGCUAACUACGUGCCAGCAGCCGCGGUAAUACGUAGGUGGCAAGCGUUGUCCGGAAUUAUUGGGCGUAAAGGGCUCGCAGGCGGUUUCUUAAGUCUGAUGUGAAAGCCCCCGGCUCAACCGGGGAGGGUCAUUGGAAACUGGGAAACUUGAGUGCAGAAGAGGAGAGUGGAAUUCCACGUGUAGCGGUGAAAUGCGUAGAGAUGUGGAGCAACACCAGUGGCGAAGGCGACUCUCUGGUCUGUAACUGACGCUGAGGAGCGAAAGCGUGGGGAGCGAACAGGAUUAGAUACCCUGGUAGUCCACGCCGUAACGAUGAGUGCUAAGUGUUAGGGGGUUUCCGCCCCUUAGUGCUGCAGCUAACGCAUUAAGCACUCCGCCUGGGGAGUACGGUCGCAAGACUGAACUCAAAGGAAUUGACGGGGGCCCGCACAAGCGGUGGAGCAUGUGGUUUAAUUCGAAGCAACGCGAAGAACCUUACCAGGUCUUGACAUCCUGUGACAACCCUAGAGAUAGGGCUUUCCCUUCGGGGACAGAGUGACAGGUGGUGCAUGGUUGUCGUCAGCUCGUGUCGUGAGAUGUUGGGGUUAAGUCCCGCAACGAGCGCAACCCUUGAUCUUAGUUGCCAGCAUUUAGUUGGGCACUCUAAGGUGACUGCCGGUGACAAACCGGAGGAAGGUGGGGAUGACGUCAAAUCAUCAUGCCCCUUAUGACCUGGGCUACACACGUGCUACAAUGGACAGAACAAAGGGCUGCGAGACCGCAAGGUUUAGCCAAUCCCACAAAUCUGUUCUCAGUUCGGAUCGCAGUCUGCAACUCGACUGCGUGAAGCUGGAAUCGCUAGUAAUCGCGGAUCAGCAUGCCGCGGUGAAUACGUUCCCGGGCCUUGUACACACCGCCCGUCACACCACGAGAGUUUGCAACACCCGAAGUCGGUGAGGUAACCUUUAUGGAGCCAGCCGCCGAAGGUGGG